This 1506-nucleotide ribosomal RNA is filed under the name metagenome. RNAcentral's name for it is "bacterial SSU rRNA". It matches the Rfam family "Bacterial small subunit ribosomal RNA". The record is from RNAcentral.
AGAGUUUGAUCCUGGCUCAGGACGAACGCUGGCGGCGUGCCUAAUACAUGCAAGUAGAACGCUGAAGAGAGGAGCUUGCUCUUCUUGGAUGAGUUGCGAACGGGUGAGUAACGCGUAGGUAACCUGCCUUGUAGCGGGGGAUAACUAUUGGAAACGAUAGCUAAUACCGCAUAACAAUGGAUGACCCAUGUCAUUUAUUUGAAAGGGGCAAAUGCUCCACUACAAGAUGGACCUGCGUUGUAUUAGCUAGUAGGUGAGGUAACGGCUCACCUAGGCGACGAUACAUAGCCGACCUGAGAGGGUGAUCGGCCACACUGGGACUGAGACACGGCCCAGACUCCUACGGGAGGCAGCAGUAGGGAAUCUUCGGCAAUGGGGGCAACCCUGACCGAGCAACGCCGCGUGAGUGAAGAAGGUUUUCGGAUCGUAAAGCUCUGUUGUAAGUCAAGAACGAGUGUGAGAGUGGAAAGUUCACACUGUGACGGUAGCUUACCAGAAAGGGACGGCUAACUACGUGCCAGCAGCCGCGGUAAUACGUAGGCCCCGAGCGUUGUCCGGAUUUAUUGGGCGUAAAGCGAGCGCAGGCGGUUUGAUAAGUCUGAAGUUAAAGGCUGUGGCUCAACCAUAGUUCGCUUUGGAAACUGUCAAACUUGAGUGCAGAAGGGGAGAGUGGAAUUCCAUGUGUAGCGGUGAAAUGCGUAGAUAUAUGGAGGAACACCGGUGGCGAAAGCGGCUCUCUGGUCUGUAACUGACGCUGAGGCUCGAAAGCGUGGGGAGCGAACAGGAUUAGAUACCCUGGUAGUCCACGCCGUAAACGAUGAGUGCUAGGUGUUGGAUCCUUUCCGGGAUUCAGUGCCGCAGCUAACGCAUUAAGCACUCCGCCUGGGGAGUACGACCGCAAGGUUGAAACUCAAAGGAAUUGACGGGGGCCCGCACAAGCGGUGGAGCAUGUGGUUUAAUUCGAAGCAACGCGAAGAACCUUACCAGGUCUUGACAUCCCGAUGCUAUUUCUAGAGAUAGAAAGUUACUUCGGUACAUCGGUGACAGGUGGUGCAUGGUUGUCGUCAGCUCGUGCCGUGAGAUGUUGGGUUAAGUCCCGCAACGAGCGCAACCCCUAUUGUUAGUUGCCAUCAUUCAGUUGGGCACUCUAGCGAGACUGCCGGUAAUAAACCGGAGGAAGGUGGGGAUGACGUCAAAUCAUCAUGCCCCUUAUGACCUGGGCUACACACGUGCUACAAUGGUUUGUACAACGAGUUGCGAGUCGGUGACGGCAAGCUAAUCUCUUAAAGCCAAUCUCAGUUCGGAUUGUAGGCUGCAACUCGCCUACAUGAAGUCGGAUUCGCUAGUAAUCGCGGAUCAGCACGCCGCGGUGAAUACGUUCCCGGGCCUUGUACACACCGCCCGUCACACCACGAGAGUUUGUAACACCCGAAGUCGGUGAGGUAACCUUUUGGAGCCAGCCGCCUAAGGUGGGAUAGAUGAUUGGGGUGAAGUCGUAACAAGGUA